UACAGAGGUCCCAAGCGUUGUUCGGAUUCACUGGGCGUAAAGGGUGCGCAGGUGGUCGGGUAAGUCUGACGUGAAAUCCCGCAGCUUAACUGCGGAAUGGCAUUGGAUACUAUUCGGCUAGAGGGUUGGAGGGGGGACUGGAAUUCUCGGUGUAGCGGUGAAAUGCGUAGAUAUCGAGAGGAACACCUGCGGCGAAGGCGGGUGGCUGGGCCGACACUGACGCUGAGGCGCGAAAGCCAGGGGAGCGAACGGG
Molecule: ribosomal RNA, 253 nt
Filed under: uncultured bacterium
Lineage: Bacteria
Description: partial 16S ribosomal RNA
Rfam family: Bacterial small subunit ribosomal RNA
Source: RNAcentral